GACGAACGCUGGCGGCGUGCUUAACACAUGCAAGUCGAGCGGUAAGGCCCUUUCGGGGGUACACGAGCGGCGAACGGGUGAGUAACACGUGGGUGACCUGCCCUCAGCUCUGGGAUAAGCCUGGGAAACCGGGUCUAAUGCUGGAUAUGACUCCAUGACGCAUGUUGUGGGGUGGAAAGCCUUGUGCGGCUGAGGAUGGGCCCGCGGCCUAUCAGCUUGCUGGUGGGGNGAUGGCCUACCAAGGCGACGACGGGUAGCCGGCCUGAGAGGGCGACCGGCCACACUGGGACUGAGACACGGCCCAGACUCCUACGGGAGGCAGCAGUGGGGAAUCUUGCGCAAUGGGCGAAAGCCUGACGCAGCGACGCCGCGUGAGGGAUGACGGCCU
Molecule: ribosomal RNA, 388 nt
Filed under: uncultured bacterium
Lineage: Bacteria
Description: bacterial SSU rRNA
Rfam family: Bacterial small subunit ribosomal RNA
Source: RNAcentral